RNAcentral lists this ribosomal RNA (329 nucleotides) under uncultured eukaryote. RNAcentral's name for it is "partial 18S ribosomal RNA". It matches the Rfam family "Eukaryotic small subunit ribosomal RNA", at positions 1470 to 1796 of the family's 1831-position model. The record is from RNAcentral.
CCCUUAGAUGUUCUGGGCCGUACGCGCGCUACACUGACGAUGGCAACGAGUUUUUCCUUCGCCGAAAGGUGUGGGUAAUCUUUUGAAACAUCGUCGUGCUGGGGAUAGAUCAUUGCAAUUUUUGAUCUUGAACGAGGAAUUCCUAGUAAGCGCGAGUCAUCAGCUCGCGUUGAUUACGUCCCUGCCCUUUGUACACACCGCCCGUCGCUACUACCGAUUGAAUGGUUUAGUGAGGACUCCUGAUUGGCGCCGCCGCCCCGGCAACGGAGCAGCGGACUGCCGAAAAGUUGUUCAAACUUGAUCAUUUAGAGGAAGUAAAAGUCGUAACA